This 385-nucleotide ribosomal RNA is filed under the name uncultured bacterium. RNAcentral describes it as "bacterial SSU rRNA". It matches the Rfam family "Bacterial small subunit ribosomal RNA", at positions 93 to 513 of the family's 1533-position model. The record is from RNAcentral.
UAGUGGCGGACGGGUGAGUAACGCGUGGGAACGUGCCCCUUGGUACGGAAUAGCCCCGGGAAACUGGGAGUAAUACCGUAUGUGGUCGAGAGACGAAAGAUUUAUCGCCAAGGGAUCGGCCCGCGUUGGAUUAGGUAGUUGGUGGGGUAAUGGCCUACCAAGCCGACGAUCCAUAGCUGGUUUGAGAGGAUGAUCAGCCACACUGGGACUGAGACACGGCCCAGACUCCUACGGGAGGCAGCAGUGGGGAAUCUUAGACAAUGGGGGAAACCCUGAUCUAGCCAUGCCGCGUGAUCGAUGAAGGCCUUAGGGUUGUAAAGAUCUUUCAGGUGGGAAGAUAAUGACUGUACCACCAGAAGAAGCCCCGGCUAACUCCGUGCCAGCA